CAAAACUCUCGUUGAGACACAGGGCCUAAAGUCUAAACAUAUAAAGACUGCUUUGUUUUCACUUUUCACCUUUGGUUAUCUUUCCAUAUUCGGAAUCCGGUUUAAGAAUCAUUUAGGUUUGAUUGAUCGUCUAUGCAAAGUGAAUCUCCCAUCUGAAAGAUCUCUUUCUUCAUGGGAGACUCUGGUGAUCCUUUCAUGCGGUAAACAAAAACACCGUCGUUCAGGCACGC
This 230-nucleotide long non-coding RNA is filed under the name Brassica rapa (field mustard). RNAcentral's name for it is "long non-coding RNA (BRAP_LNC000324)". The record is from RNAcentral. Lineage: Eukaryota; Viridiplantae; Streptophyta; Magnoliopsida; Brassicales; Brassicaceae.